UACAGAGGGUGCAAGCGUUGUUCGGAAUUAUUGGGCGUAAAGCGCGUGUAGGCGGCUUUGCAAGUCGGGUGUGAAAGCCCUCAGCUCAACUGAGGAAGUGCGCCCGAAACUGCAGAGCUUGAGUGCCGGAGAGGGUGGCGGAAUUCCCCAAGUAGAGGUGAAAUUCGUAGAUAUCGAGAGGAACACCGGUGGCGAAGGCGGCCUUCUGGACAGUGACUGACGCUGAGACGCGAAAGCGUGGGGAGCAAACAGG
Molecule: ribosomal RNA, 253 nt
Filed under: uncultured bacterium
Lineage: Bacteria
Description: partial 16S ribosomal RNA
Rfam family: Bacterial small subunit ribosomal RNA
Source: RNAcentral